AAUAGAUACCCUGGUAGUCCACGCCGUAAACGAUGGAUACUAGCUGUUGGGGGCAACUUCAGUGGCUAAGCGAAAGUGAUAAGUAUCCCACCUGGGGAGUACGAACGCAAGUUUGAAACUCAAAGGAAUUGACGGGGGCCCGCACAAGCGGUGGAGCAUGUGGUUUAAUUCGAUGAUACGCGAGGAACCUUACCAAGGCUUAAAUGCAGACUGACCGAUUUGGAAACAGAUCUUUCGCAAGACAGUUUACAAGGUGCUGCAUGGUUGUCGUCAGCUCGUGCCGUGAGGUGUCAGGUUAAGUCCUAUAACGAGCGCAACCCCUGUUGUUAGUUGCCAGCGAGUUCAUGUCGGGAACUCUAACAAGACUGCCAGUGCAAACUGUGAGGAAGGUGGGGAUGACGUCGAAAUCAUCACGGCCCUUACGCCUUGGGCUACACACGUGCUACAAUGGCCGGUACAGAGAGCAGCCACCUCGCGAGGGGGAGCGAAUCUAUAAAGCCGGUCACAGUUCGGAAUCGGAGU
This 522-nucleotide ribosomal RNA is filed under the name uncultured bacterium. RNAcentral's name for it is "bacterial SSU rRNA". It matches the Rfam family "Bacterial small subunit ribosomal RNA", at positions 777 to 1305 of the family's 1533-position model. The record is from RNAcentral.